This 83-nucleotide transfer RNA is filed under the name Amycolatopsis sp. NBRC 101858. RNAcentral's name for it is "tRNA-Arg". Lineage: Bacteria; Bacillati; Actinomycetota; Actinomycetes; Pseudonocardiales; Pseudonocardiaceae. The record is from RNAcentral.
GCAGGUCCUGGGUGAUGUUGUCCCGGAUCAUCGCGGCUUCGAACUGCGCACCUCGUCCGAGGUGCGGCACCUCGGUGCCUUCG